CCAUUGGCUGCGCCCACGGAGCCGCCUUGCGAUUGGCCCUAAGCGCGGGUGGCUGGGGUUGCGAGAGGCAUCAGGAUCCCUGGCGGCGCCUGAGCCAGCGGCUGCUAGGAGGCUGUGUCCGCAAGCCAGCGGGGCGAGGCGCCUGGGCCCUGCGCGUCAGGUCCCGGCCUGGGGCACCGGGGCUGCCAGCGUCGGAGGAGGCCUGAGACCUGGGAGGAAGCUGGAGAAAAGAUGCCCUCUGAAUCUUUGUGUUUGGCUGCCCAGGCUCGCCUUGACACCGAAUGGUUGAAAACAGAUAUACAGAUGGUAGUGUCGAACCAAGUGGAACAAAGAAAGAAGAUCUGAAUGACAAAGAGAAAAAAAAUGAAGACGAAACUCCUGCACCUGUAUAUAGGGCCAAGUCAAUUCUGGAGACCUGGGUGUGGGUCAAGCAACCAGGUAAUCUGAGUUUUGGCACUUUGGAAAGCUUGAUCUGACGCUCCUUUUCUAAAUAACUUGGAUGGAUUAUUCGUAUUUUUUGGUAACAAUUUUAAAAAAUGUAAUUAAAA
This 548-nucleotide long non-coding RNA is filed under the name Homo sapiens (human). Its description in RNAcentral is "non-protein coding lnc-APBA2-5:4". Lineage: Eukaryota; Metazoa; Chordata; Mammalia; Primates; Hominidae. The record is from RNAcentral.